Molecule: ribosomal RNA, 433 nt
Filed under: uncultured bacterium
Lineage: Bacteria
Description: partial 16S ribosomal RNA
Rfam family: Bacterial small subunit ribosomal RNA
Source: RNAcentral
AACGAACGCUGGCGGCAUGCCUAACACAUGCAAGUCGAACGAGACCUUCGGGUCUAGUGGCGCACGGGUGCGUAACGCGUGGGAACCUGCCCUUAGGUUCGGAAUAACUCCCCGAAAGGGGUGCUAAUACCGGAUAAUGUCUUCGGACCAAAGAUUUAUCGCCUUUGGAUGGGCCCGCGUUGGAUUAGUUAGUUGGUAGGGUAAAAGCCUACCAAGGCGACGAUCCAUAGCUGGUCUGAGAGGAUGAUCAGCCACACUGGGACUGAGACACGGCCCAGACUCCUACGGGAGGCAGCAGUGGGGAAUAUUGGACAAUGGGCGGAAGCCUGAUCCAGCAAUGCCGCGUGAGUGAUGAAGGCCUUAGGGUUGUAAAGCUCUUUUACCCGGGAUGAUAAUGACAGUACCGGGAGAAUAAGCUCCGGCUAACUCCGUG